CUCGCCCACCGCGUCCGGCGGCUGGGGAGAGACAGCGCACCGCCACCACAGAAGAAGACGGGCACAGAAACAAAAUGAAAGUUUCUUCAAGCUGCACCUUCAGCCCAACAUGGCAGAAAUCCUGGCAGGUUUGUUGACUGCAGCUGGGCUCUGCGUGUCACCGAACAUUUAAACCAGCUGGGCAUCCCGUACAGACACUCAACUUCUUUACACAACGGAUCAGGAUUCAGACGCCUGAGCAGCACAAACCUCUGGAUUUAUCUUCUUCUACACGCAGGAGAAGGAAAACUCUGGGCUGAAAACCAAUAAAUCACACAAUGAAUC
Molecule: long non-coding RNA, 324 nt
Organism: Poecilia latipinna (sailfin molly)
Lineage: Eukaryota; Metazoa; Chordata; Actinopteri; Cyprinodontiformes; Poeciliidae
Exons: 3
Source: RefSeq, a predicted model, not a curated record